Molecule: ribosomal RNA, 602 nt
Filed under: [Candida] sp. YS24
Lineage: Eukaryota; Fungi; Ascomycota; Saccharomycetes; Saccharomycetales
Description: eukaryotic LSU rRNA
Rfam family: Eukaryotic large subunit ribosomal RNA
Source: RNAcentral
AUAUCAAUAAGCGGAGGAAAAGAAACCAACAGGGAUUGCCUUAGUAGCGGCGAGUGAAGCGGCAAAAGCUCAAAUUUGAAAUCUGGCACUUUCAGUGUCCGAGUUGUAAUUUGAAGAAGGUAUCUUUGGGUCUGGCUCUUGUCUAUGUUUCUUGGAACAGAACGUCACAGAGGGUGAGAAUCCCGUGCGAUGAGAUGUCCCAGACCUAUGUAAAGUUCCUUCGAAGAGUCGAGUUGUUUGGGAAUGCAGCUCUAAGUGGGUGGUAAAUUCCAUCUAAAGCUAAAUAUUGGCGAGAGACCGAUAGCGAACAAGUACAGUGAUGGAAAGAUGAAAAGAACUUUGAAAAGAGAGUGAAAAAGUACGUGAAAUUGUUGAAAGGGAAGGGCUUGAGAUCAGACUUGGUAUUUUGUAUGUUACUCUCUCGGGGGUGGCCUCUACAGUUUACCGGGCCAGCAUCAGUUUGGGCGGUAGGAUAAGUGCAAAGAAAUGUGGCACUGCUUCGGUAGUGUGUUAUAGUCUUUGUCGAUACUGCCAGCUUAGACUGAGGACUGCGGCUUCGGCCUAGGAUGUUGGCAUAAUGAUCUUAAGUCGCCCGUCUUGAA